ACCUACACCACAGCUCACGGCAACGCCGGAUCCUUAACCCACUGAGCAAGGGCAGGGACCGAACCCGCAACCUCAUGGUUCCUAGUCGGAUUCGUUAACCACUCAUGAUAUAAAAGUGCAGGGCAUAAUGACGACUGCGUAGAGAAGUGGUAAGAAUCAGAUCUAAUAUAAUUAAUGUGAACAUGUGUGUGCUUUGAUUUCUAUAAAAUACUUUAAGGCUGGUAACAGAUUAACCCUCCUAAUAUCCUUUAAAAGAUAAUAAUAAAAUCAUGACUCACUUUUACUGAUGAAACAGUGGAGUGCAGACAAAUUGCCAGAGCCAUUAAAAAUUAACUUUAAACAAUUCAGUUCAUUGAUGAGUCUUGGUAUGCUUUGUAGAGCACUUAAUGGACAAUAAGCAUGUCAUAUGUGAGAGGUGAUGAAACAACGGUCUGACUGCCUUUCCAAAAAACUCAAGCUCAACUCUAUCCUGUUCAAGUCAGCUCCAGAUUCCAAAGGUCCUUUAUCCACCCACUUCCACCCCCCCGCCCCCCGGUUAUGCUAAUAUAGAAGGAAUGAAGUACUCAGAUUUUAGAAUCAAAGCUCCUCGUCUAAACUCAGGAUUCCUUAGCUGUGUGAUCUUGGAAAGUCCCCUGACAUCUCUCUCAUACGUAAAAUGAAGCCAAUAAUGGUACUCGCCACCACAUGGCUAUUCUGAGAAUAAAACAAAACAUGCCAUGCAGCCUCUGUUUUACCAAAACAUUCAUUUUGACCUACGUUUUCCAGAAGCCUCAAACCAUCAAAAAACAUCCAUCAAACUCCACAGAGGUUAAAUUUGAGGGUAAAAGAACUCUUACUGAAUUUAAUUAUCUUAAUAACCUUAGUUUUUUAUCUUUCAUCUCACACCAAAAUGCAGUUACCAUGUGGCCACCAAGAAAUUAUUAGCCACAUACCCAUGCUGUAUAUUUAGAAAUAAAUAUAUUUUCCUAAAAAUUUUUAACUAGACGAGUUCUCAUCCUUAAAAAAGAAAAUCUUCUCUUUAGCCAAUACUCCUAAUUUCAUUACUAUAAAUCAAGAAGAAAAUAUAUAAUGAGCAUGGGAUAGAAGAAAAAAAACAAGAAAAAGAAAAAGACUCAUAGAAGGAUACAGAGGAAGAAAGGAAGGAAGGGGAGUGAAAUAUAAUAUUCAGAUUCUUGCUUCCAGUCCAUUAACUUCCAAAACGAAAGAGAAUAUGUCAUACCAUCCAUUAACACAGUUUAGAAACACUAGCCUAUUUGGCAGCCACACUUACAGAACCAUGAGAAUCAAGGUUACUCAUCAUAAGCUCAUAAACUGGGCACAAGGUGACAGGACCAAUUGGGUGAGAGGGAUCUGAGUGGAGGGUGAUCUGCCGCAACACCAUGUAUGUUGCAGAGGUCCCCCUCAAAACAUGCAUAGACAGCAGUCUGGGGCUACCUUGGAGACCUGCCUUCUCAAAAGAACUAGGAACUAAGCCCCCACAGCUGGGUUUGACCUGGCUUUGCCUCUACCUGGGUUCUGAGGAGCUUCUGCUCUGCUUCAUCAGAAAUGAGCAGAGCUGAGAGCACCUAGAGGAAGGGCCCAACUCCUCACAGAGACUCAAUCACUUGUAGAGGUGAGGCAGUUUUGCCAAAUGGUAGCACCAGGGGCACGAAAGCCAGGCUGCCCCGCUCCUAAACCUGACUGGGACACCUAUUCCUUGUUUGGCCUUGGGCAAGCCAGUUCAACACAGUCUCAGGUUCCUCCCCUGUAAAAUGAAAAUCAAAGCAAGGUCAAGGCAAAUGAGAUGAUACACACCUACACAACUGAGCACAGUCCAGAACUUGGUGGCCAUGAGGUGACUGCUAAUGCCUUAUCCCAGCUACUGCAAAAGGCUGAGUGACACUGGAGGUGGCCCUUCCACAAGCUGGACAUUAGACGGCAAAUGCUCCAGGGCCAGCAAAAACCUGCAGCCCUAGUGCCCCACUUGGUGUUCAACAAACAAGAAAACCUCGGAAAUCUUUCAGCAAUAAAGAGAUAAUUCCAGCAAUGACGUCUACAGUGCACCUUCUAUGGUGUCCUUGUCUGAAUUUAUUAAUACGUGUAGGCAGAAUAAUUUGCUGCAGGGCUCAAGAAAGAUAAGAUUUUUUUUUAAGAGGUGAGGGGUUUUUUUAGAGCAUUAUAUCAGUAUCUCCUAGAACUAUGUUUUGUUUAAGGCAAUUUAGUAAACUGAAAAGUGUGGACUCUUUUUUUUUCCCUUCCAUUUACGUUUUUAGUGGUGGUGGCUGUUGUUGUCAAGCAUCUUGAGUGCUCUUUUAUGGACAGAGUAAGCUGUAAAAGAACCUCUUUGAUGACUCAUUUUAGAAUAUAAAUUCAGGGGAAGCAAAAGUACCGCUUAUCACUACUGAGAACUUUCAUUCAGAUCUACUUUUACAACUGCUCUGAUCUAACAGGGCAAUUGAUUCCAACAUGCAAUUUAAUCAACAGGCUGUUAAACCUUGGAUGCUUAUUGGUAAGGGAACAAUGCUUUAAGAAUUUUGCUAAAUAAUUUGGCCCUUCCAGUCUAAGAGCUAUGCUGGUGAGAAUAGGAUGGCGUGUAAGUAUCUAAGAUUAUUCUACUCAUCUAGGGUAUGUAGCCCUGGGCUGCCUUUCCAGAUCAGCUCUCUGAGCCAGAGCCCUCUUCAGCCACAAGGCAAGGAGCUGGCAUAAAAGUAGCCCAUACUUCUUGGAUGAAGCUUGAUGAGGUCUCACUAUUACAGCCCUCGUGAAUUCUCUUUCUGUUGCUGCUGCUACCAGCAAUAUAUUUUUUAGGUUGCCCUGGAUGUCUUAUGGUGAGAUUUUGCUGAACAUCGAAUAUGAAUUAGGAAACUGCUUUGAGAAAUAGUCCCACCAUUUCAUCUGUUUACUUUUCUAUUACACCGUCAUUUCCUAAAUGCUUUUUUUGGAAAGUUUUACACAAUAGCUUCAUAAAUCAGGUUAGUAAGGAUGUCAUUCCAUUUUAAAGCAUGUCACAUGGAAAGACUAUAACAAUAAUAGACACAAAUGCACCUGUCUACAUGCAUAUUCACACAAACACACACAUUUGCUCAACUUGAAACUGAGCCCUGGGACUAACAAACAUAUCAUCCCUGGCUCUUUUCAAUAUACCUUCUUUCUAGGAUCUGCUUUCACUCAGGGGCUCCUACACAAUUCCGGUGUUUCCCCAAACCACAUUCUAAGGUGCAGGAAAUAUUAAUAAAAGUUCUGUAAGGAGGGAAGGAGAGUUCUCUAAUCAUAUUUGUCAUUUUGCUGAGGACAAAUUUGAACCAUGGGCAUGCAAGACUGAAGAGAAUCACUUAGGUAUUGUAUGAACCCGGCCAACUAUUCAACAGCCACAUCUCAAAGUGAUUUUGUUGUUCCCUCUCUAUUCAUUGUUACACAGAAAGCUCAUGAAGCGAUAACACUGUUUCUUUGUUUAAAAAAUAAAAGGCCGCUGAAAGAAAAGCCAAUUACUCGUGAUGGUGAUGGGAGUGAAGAGAAAGUGAAAAGGCUUACAGAAGUGGUGGUUCUUGCCCAAAUACAGAUACCUGGGGAAGAAAUUAUAUUUCAAAAGGCUAUGUGUAAAUUUAGAUGUAAACUUCAUGAUCAUCUUUGGAAAAAUCUCUCAUAAAUGUCAAGGAUCUACCCUAUAUCAAAAUGGUCUAAGUUUGAGGCAUCAUGGAAAUAAACUGGACGUGACCAUAAAUGGCCCCUGAACAGAAUCCUACCUUAUAUAUGAUAGAGGAGAAAUUACUCACACAAGUGGGGGCCUGCUGCCUUAGGCUCCAGAAAAAAAGGCCCAGGGGCACUGUGAUAUAUUAUUAUUAGAAGGCUCUUCUGUCUGAAUGGAAAGAUGGAAACAGGGCGCUUUAGUUGACUGGGGUUGAAUUUGAAAACUAGGCAUCCAAUAUCACCUCCAGACAGGUUCACAUGGGUUUGAGUUUAGCUUCUGUGGAAUGGCUUCUGAUGGCAGUUUAAAGGAGGAGGCUCUGAGGGAGCACUCUCAUGAACAGGGACAGGACAGAACCACCGGAUACUGAGAGGAAUCACAAGACACUGGAGUAAGAAAAACAGGUAGGAACAAGUCAAAGUGCACUGAAGUACGUGAGGACCCAUGGACUCGAGAGCCAUGGAUCCAGCUACUUUCCAGACAGUGAAAACAAAAAGCAAUGAAGCCUCCAACAGCGUCUCUGGCCUCCUCCUGAACAGCUCCCCUGGGAGCUCAGCAUCCAUGUGAUUGCACCCAGGACCCAACUAAUGGUUGACCACGUAUCACCCCAGACAUUAAGAAAUAUGGCCAAAGUCUUUCAUACAAAAAUUCUUCUUUUAAAAAAUCAUGUAAAUGUCCUUUCGAUCCAUGUUCCUAUUUAAUUUAUGUGGCUUCUGUAAAACUCCCUUGUCGUUUUCUAAAAAAAAUUUUUUUUUUUAUUGGGCUCGUAGAAGGAUGAUCUAACUUUUCCCUAAAUCUCACAGGGCUUCAAAUACUAGGGAUUUUCCCCUCUUCUCUAGAGUUUUGAUUUCUCAUGGAAGACAGCCAUUUAGAAAAGUCACUAACAUGCAGAUACACGCUGACAAACCUUUCUGGCUGCACAGCUAAGGCAACAUGUAGGUGUGUGAGUGGAGAACAGCUAGUACCAAGCCUAGCUGAUUUCCAUCUAGUGUGACCAACGAAAUGUAAACUCUGGCAGGAGAACUCAGAUCCCGCCAUCUGGAAGACCAGUCCCAGAUUGGUUGAUUUCAGACAGAGAUAACACACUCAUUGGUGGGAUACACUGCAG
Molecule: long non-coding RNA, 4772 nt
Filed under: Sus scrofa (pig)
Lineage: Eukaryota; Metazoa; Chordata; Mammalia; Artiodactyla; Suidae
Description: lncRNA (ENSSSCG00040030339.1)
Source: RNAcentral